This 428-nucleotide ribosomal RNA is filed under the name uncultured bacterium. RNAcentral describes it as "bacterial SSU rRNA". It matches the Rfam family "Bacterial small subunit ribosomal RNA", at positions 355 to 775 of the family's 1533-position model. The record is from RNAcentral.
UGGGGAAUAUUGGACAAUGGGGGCAACCCUGAUCCAGCAAUGCCGCAUGUGUGAAGAAGGCCUGCGGGUUGUAAAGCACUUUCAGUAGGGAAGAAAAGCUCGGGGUGAAUAUCCCCGGGUCUUGACGUUACCUAAAGAAGAAGCACCGGCUAACUCCGUGCCAGCAGCCGCGGUAAUACGGAGGGUGCGAGCGUUAAUCGGAAUUACUGGGCGUAAAGCGCACGCAGGCGGUUAGGUAAGUCGGAUGUGAAAGCCCUGGGCUUAACCUGGGAACUGCAUUCGAUACUGUCUGGCUAGAGUAUGGGAGAGGGAAGCGGAAUUUCCGGUGUAGCGGUGAAAUGCGUAGAUAUCGGAAGGAACACCAAUGGCGAAGGCAGCUUCCUGGCCCAAUACUGACGCUCAGGUGCGAAAGCGUGGGGAUCAAACAG